Molecule: ribosomal RNA, 498 nt
Filed under: uncultured bacterium
Lineage: Bacteria
Description: partial 16S ribosomal RNA
Rfam family: Bacterial small subunit ribosomal RNA
Source: RNAcentral
AUUGAACGCUGGCGGCAUGCCUUACACAUGCAAGUCGAACGGUAACAGGUCUUCGGAUGCUGACGAGUGGCGAACGGGUGAGUAAUGCAUCGGAACGUGCCAUUGAGUGGGGGAUAACGUAGCGAAAGUUACGCUAAUACCGCAUAUUCUCUCCGGAGGAAAGCAGGGGAUCGUAAGACUUUGUGCUCUUUGAGCGGCCGAUGUCGGAUUAGCUAGUUGGUGAGGUAAAGGCUCACCAAGGCUACGAUCCGUAGCGGGUCUGAGAGGAUGAUCCGCCACACUGGGACUGAGACACGGCCCAGACUCCUACGGGAGGCAGCAGUGGGGAAUUUUGGACAAUGGGCGCAAGCCUGAUCCAGCCAUGCCGCGUGAGUGAAGAAGGCCUUCGGGUUGCAAAGCUCUUUCAGCCGGGAAGAAAACGCAUGGGUUAAUACCCUGUGCGGAUGACGGUACCGGAAUAAGAAGCACCGGCUAACUACGUGCCAGCAGCCGCCGUAA